Chlorocebus sabaeus (green monkey) is the source of this 89-nucleotide microRNA precursor. NCBI's taxonomy places the organism in Eukaryota, Metazoa, Chordata, Mammalia, Primates, Cercopithecidae. The record is from Ensembl.
AUCACUAGGGGAUCUUGUUAAAAUGCAGAUUCUGGGGUGGGGCCUGACAGUCUGCAUUUCUAACAAACUCCCAAGAUGCUGAUGUUACU